This 72-nucleotide transfer RNA is filed under the name Danio rerio (zebrafish). RNAcentral describes it as "tRNA-Ala (TGC) (tRNA-Ala-TGC-8-1)". It matches the Rfam family "tRNA". Rfam says of the family: Transfer RNA (tRNA) molecules are approximately 80 nucleotides in length. The record is from Rfam by way of RNAcentral. Lineage: Eukaryota; Metazoa; Chordata; Actinopteri; Cypriniformes; Danionidae.
GGGGAUGUAGCUCAGUGGUAGAGCGCAUGCUUUGCAUGUUUGAGGUCCUGGGUUCAAUUCCCAGCAUCUCCA